GAUGAAGAACGUAGCGAAAUGCGAUACUUGGUGUGAAUUGCAGAAUCCCGUGAACCAUCGAGUCUUUGAACGCAAGUUGCGCCCGAAGUCUUUUAGACCGAGGGCACGCCUGCCUGGGCGUCACACACAGCGUCGCCCCCCACCAACCCGUUGGCUGGGGGACGGAAACUGGCCCCCCGAGCCCCCACGGGCACGGCCGGCACAAAUGUUGGUCCUCGGCGGCGAGCGUCGCGGCAAUCGGUGGUUGUCCAACCCUCGGUGCCAUGCUGCGCGCGCUAGCCGCUCACUGUUACUCGACGACCCCAAUGCGUCGUAGCCACGACGCUCACAACGCGACCCCAGGUCAGGCGGGGCUACCCGCUGAGUUUAAGCAUAUCAAUAAGCGGGGA
This 389-nucleotide unclassified non-coding RNA is filed under the name soil metagenome. RNAcentral's name for it is "partial contains 5.8S ribosomal RNA, internal transcribed spacer 2, and large subunit ribosomal RNA". The stretch from base 1 to 123 matches the Rfam family "5.8S ribosomal RNA", at positions 35 to 154 of the family's 154-position model. The record is from RNAcentral.